Molecule: non-coding RNA, 212 nt
Filed under: Rhizobium oryziradicis
Lineage: Bacteria; Pseudomonadati; Pseudomonadota; Alphaproteobacteria; Hyphomicrobiales; Rhizobiaceae
Source: RNAcentral
AUAAAGUUUUCGUGUGUUGGUUUCGCAGGCUCAACAAAAGCCCGCGGAUGAAAAGGGAAUACGGUGAGGACGACCCAAUCGGGACCGAAUCCGUGGCUGCCCCCGCAACUGUAAACGGAGAGCAAAGUCCAAAAUGCCAUUGGCUGAUGCCGAUAAGGCGGACGGCGCAAAGACCCGUGAGCCAGGAGACCUGCCAGCGCAUAACACCGCCU